RNAcentral lists this ribosomal RNA (287 nucleotides) under uncultured bacterium. RNAcentral's name for it is "partial 16S ribosomal RNA". It matches the Rfam family "Bacterial small subunit ribosomal RNA", at positions 197 to 504 of the family's 1533-position model. The record is from RNAcentral.
GGGGUAAAAACUCCGGUGGUGUGAGAUGGGCCCGCGUCUGAUUAGGUAGUUGGUGAGGUAACGGCUCACCAAGCCGACGAUCAGUAGCCGACCUGAGAGGGUGACCGGCCACAUUGGGACUGAGACACGGCCCAAACUCCUACGGGAGGCAGCAGUGGGGAAUAUUGCACAAUGGGGGAAACCCUGAUGCAGCGACGCCGCGUGAGCGAUGAAGUAUUUCGGUAUGUAAAGCUCUAUCAGCAGGGAAGAUGAUGACGAUACCUGACUAAGAAGCCCCGGCUAACUAC